CUUCUUCUUCUCCUUCGAUUUCCGAUGUGGUCUGUUUGUCUGGUCCUCCAUCUUGAAAAAGAAAAAGCAAGAGCAAGCUCCCGCCUUGCUCUUUCAAGAUAAACGAAGGGCUUGAAAACUGCGAUUUCUAAAAAUUUGGUUUUUGGACAAAAAAAUGAUUGAGUUUAUCCGAGCGGGCUAUAUUGUGAUUGGUUGAAAGAAGCGUCUUACUAAGAUAGUCAAUUUGUCCGCCAAGUAGCUAUGUUUUUUACUUCCUUCAAACCUUCAGGCAGUGCACCACUAGACAGGAUGCAGCAAGAUAUGUUAUUCAUGUAAUAUGAUGUAUAUUGCUAUUCCUCACAAACUAGUUGAAGUGGAGAACAGAAAUGAUGAAGUUCAGGCUAUUGUAUAGUCAAUCAAGUCCAGAUUGCUGGAGCACUCAAGCACUGAAAUUGAAAGAAUAGCUGUGCGCGAUCUUUUUCCUUUCGAUGACCAUGAUGAAGACCUUUAGCUUAGGGGUGCUGAGGGACUCCGGCGGACAAAGCCUAUGUUAAUAUACAGUGCACAAUAGUCUACAUCAAAAAGCACAAUACAGACC
This 577-nucleotide small RNA is filed under the name Histoplasma capsulatum var. duboisii H88. RNAcentral's name for it is "Histoplasma capsulatum H88 hypothetical RNA". Lineage: Eukaryota; Fungi; Ascomycota; Eurotiomycetes; Onygenales; Ajellomycetaceae. The record is from RNAcentral.